UGCCCCUUUCACUCUCUCUCUCUCUCUCUCUGGCGAUUCAGAUCUGGAUCUAGGGUUUUUCUUCAAGGCGAUUCAAGAUCUAGCCUUUCUCACUAACAACAGAUCGAUAAACAAAUCUCAAUGUAGUGAAUAAAGCUUUGAACUCUUCCACACCCAACUUCAAAUCUGUAGAUGCUUGAUUUUCCUUCUAGGGUUUCUCAUACUCCACAACCCGUCGUCGCUGUUGAAGACAUAUCUGUCCCUCUAAAAAGUGGUUGAGGUCCAUCUCAACUUUGGUCUUCUUUGCAGUCUCUCCUUUAUGAGAUCGAACCUCGUAGUGAUGUUUGGAAUUGUUUUGGUUGUUCUAGCUUCUCCGACAAGCUUCUGGAUUUCCCAGCUUGGCUCGUGAUAUUCCUGGAAUAGCGUUCUAACUGACAAUGAACCAUUCAAGGUUGAUAACAGUGUGAAGGAAUCCACAAAUGAGGUUAAAAAUUCUGAAAAAAAACACAUGUUGUUCAGAUUUGUUGCUCAAAAUACCAACAAGACAUGCUCAAUUAGAUGCAUCUAAAGGCGGUACCUCAUCACGUGUUGUUAAAACUUAAAAGUGUAAGAUUUAAAGAGAAGACUCCUCGUGACGGUGAAAGAAGUCCUCUUCUACAUCCUGAAAGCCAUAUUGUUACCAAGAUUAAGUCUAUAUUCCACGGGAAUCGAUCUUGGUCUCUUCCGGUCAAACAAGGGUCAAACAUGUCCCCUUCGAUCACUACGCCUGUUUCAGCUAGGACAUAUAGUGAACAACAAAAAUCUCAGGUAUUCUUGCCGAUUACAUUAUUCCUAUACGACUCAUUAUAUAAUAUAACAUGAUCUGGUUCACAUGUUGGAUGUGCGUUUUCGAAAGUGAUUUAUCAUUUAUGUGACUUUAAUACACCAAAGCCAAUAAGCCAAAAGCUCCCCAAGGUAGACUUGCAGAAGCUUACAGUUUUUGUGUUGGUGGUGAACCGCUAAAGUUUUAGAGAUGGCUCAAGCGAACAGAGUUAGAGACGUUGUGGAAAUACAACGUGAGGACCAUCUUCACUGGUUUCGUUCCUACGUGUUGUAACCACUGCUACUAAUAUUGGAUCCAAAGAUCGUUGGGGAAAAGUACGUUCCAUAUUGGCCUAUUGCUAACAAAGAUACUGUGGUUGCACCAGAUUUGGCCAAGCUUUUUGUGUACAACCUUGGUACACCUGCUGACCAUUUGCAGUUCUGAAGCCUGGGUGACUCCGAUAUCUCGGGUCUGGUCAUGGUUAAUCAGGCCCGAUCCAAUCUCCUUACCUCAGAGCUUCAUCGAAGAUAGGUUGAGGCCGAGGUUGAAAACACGAAAUUGAGAUGUCAACUGCAGCAUAUUGGAAAGCACAGUGCACCCCGUUGGGAUCCUACUUUGCCAUACACACAUCAAUUUGAAGAGCUAAAGAAGAGCUUAGCCAAGGCAACCGCUGAUGGGCUUGCCCGCCAGGAUGCCGAAGAAAUUUUGGCGAAGACCAAAGCUUCGCUGGAGGUCAUGAUCGUGACUGUUGAAGCACAGCGAAAGGGGUUUCAAACCAAAAUUGAUGACCUUUCUAAGUCAUACGGGAAACAAAGCAAGUUGUAUGCUGAACUGGCAGCUGGUUAUUCUAGCUGAAGAAGUUGCUGCUUCAAAUGUUACCAUCUCCGACUUAACAACACAGAUUUGUGAUGCUAUCCAAGCUAGGGCAGAACAAGGUGUGCGCAUGUGCAUGCGGUGAAUGGUGAUUACGGAGAGAAAGGGUGGGAAGGGGCUUUUUGCCGGAAAAAACACCCACAGCUGUAGGCUGCAGCUAAUAAGACGAAUGAUGAUGGUGAAAAUUGCCGUAGGAGUUGGCUGAUUGGCAACAUGGUUGAGUUUAAAACCUAAGAGCUUGGAUUUUGUACAAGCUGCUGCUCUCUCUAUUGCAAUUGAGAUUGCCUAUGACGGUCUAGAAAGGGUUGGCUUUGGUGUAGGUAUAUCCAUGCUUGUUUAAAUCAAGCUGCUUAGGAGUUAAAGCGGCGAUCUGGCAAUCCACGUGAUGUGAGGUCCUAUGACGAGAAGAUUCAUAUUUUCUUAUUGAGUAACCAACUACAAAUAGAAAUAUUUUUAAUGAAACCUUUGUUGACCAGAUUUAUUUAUAUUAAAUAGCUUUAGUUAUUUGGUACCUUUUUAUAAAACAACCCGUUUUGACACGAAUCUAAUUUGGGUAAAGCGUGUUCUGACCCGGCCCAAAAUGUC
RNAcentral lists this long non-coding RNA (2239 nucleotides) under Helianthus annuus (common sunflower). The record is from RNAcentral. Lineage: Eukaryota; Viridiplantae; Streptophyta; Magnoliopsida; Asterales; Asteraceae.